Molecule: ribosomal RNA, 162 nt
Filed under: Rhodosciadium tuberosum
Lineage: Eukaryota; Viridiplantae; Streptophyta; Magnoliopsida; Apiales; Apiaceae
Description: 5.8S ribosomal RNA
Rfam family: 5.8S ribosomal RNA
About the family: 5.8S ribosomal RNA (5.8S rRNA) is a component of the large subunit of the eukaryotic ribosome. It is transcribed by RNA polymerase I as part of the 45S precursor that also contains 18S and 28S rRNA.
Source: RNAcentral
AACGACUCUCGACAACGGAUAUCUCGGCUCUCGCAUCGAUGAAGAACGUAGCGAAAUGCGAUACUUGGUGUGAAUUGCAGAAUCCCGUGAACCAUCGAGUCUUUGAACGCAAGUUGCGCCCGAAGCCACUAGGCUGAGGGCACGCCUUCCUGGGUGUCACGC